AAAUUGAAGAGUUUGAUCAUGGCUCAGAUUGAACGCUGGCGGCAGGCCUAACACAUGCAAGUCGAACGGUAACAGGAAUCAGCUUGCUGAUUCGCUGACGAGUGGCGGACGGGUGAGUAAUGUCUGGGAAACUGCCUGAUGGAGGGGGAUAACUACUGGAAACGGUAGCUAAUACCGCAUAAUGUCGCAAGUACCAAAGAGGGGGACCUUCGGGCCUCUUGCCAUCGGAUGUGCCCAGAUGGGAUUAGCUAGUAGGUGGGGUAACGGCUCACCUAGGCGACGAUCCCUAGCUGGUCUGAGAGGAUGACCAGCCACACUGGAACUGAGACACGGUCCAGACUCCUACGGGAGGCAGCAGUGGGGAAUAUUGCACAAUGGGCGCAAGCCUGAUGCAGCCAUGCCGCGUGUAUGAAGAAGGCCUUCGGGUUGUAAAGUACUUUCAGCGGGGAGGAAGGGAGUAAAGUUAAUACCUUUACUCAUUGACGUUACCCGCAGAAGAAGCACCGGCUAACUCCGUGCCAGCAGCCGCGGUAAUACGGAGGGUGCAAGCGUUAAUCGGAAUUACUGGGCGUAAAGCGCACGCAGGCGGUUUGUUAAGUCAGAUGCGAAAUCCCCGGGCUCAACCUGGGAACUGCAUCUGAUACUGGCAAGCUUGAGUCUCGUAGAGGGGGUAGAAUUCCAGGUGUAGCGGUGAAAUGCGUAGAGAUCUGGAGGAAUACCGGUGGCGAAGGCGGCCCCCUGGACGAAGACUGACGCUCAGGUGCGAAAGCGUGGGGAGCAAACAGGAUUAGAUACCCUGGUAGUCCACGCCGUAAACGAUGUCGACUUGGAGGUUGUGCCCUUGAGGCGUGGCUUCCGGAGCUAACGCGUUAAGUCGACCGCCUGGGGAGUACGGCCGCAAGGUUAAAACUCAAAUGAAUUGACGGGGGCCCGCACAAGCGGUGGAGCAUGUGGUUUAAUUCGAUGCAACGCGAAGAACCUUACCUGGUCUUGACAUCCACGGAAGUUUUCAGAGAUGAGAAUGUGCCUUCGGGAACCGUGAGACAGGUGCUGCAUGGCUGUCGUCAGCUCGUGUUGUGAAAUGUUGGGUUAAGUCCCGCAACGAGCGCAACCCUUAUCCUUUGUUGCCAGCGGUCCGGCCGGGAACUCAAAGGAGACUGCCAGUGAUAAACUGGAGGAAGGUGGGGAUGACGUCAAGUCAUCAUGGCCCUUACGACCAGGGCUACACACGUGCUACAAUGGCGCAUACAAAGAGAAGCGACCUCGCGAGAGCAAGCGGACCUCAUAAAGUGCGUCGUAGUCCGGAUUGGAGUCUGCAACUCGACUCCAUGAAGUCGGAAUCGCUAGUAAUCGUGGAUCAGAAUGCCACGGUGAAUACGUUCCCGGGCCUUGUACACACCGCCCGUCACACCAUGGGAGUGGGUUGCAAAAGAAGUAGGUAGCUUAACCUUCGGGAGGGCGCUUACCACUUUGUGAUUCAUGACUGGGGUGAAGUCGUAACAAGGUAACCGUAGGGGAACCUGCGGUUGGAUCACCUCCUUA
This 1542-nucleotide ribosomal RNA is filed under the name Escherichia coli 97.0246. RNAcentral's name for it is "bacterial SSU rRNA". It matches the Rfam family "Bacterial small subunit ribosomal RNA". Lineage: Bacteria; Pseudomonadati; Pseudomonadota; Gammaproteobacteria; Enterobacterales; Enterobacteriaceae. The record is from RNAcentral.